Molecule: long non-coding RNA, 485 nt
Filed under: Vitis vinifera (wine grape)
Lineage: Eukaryota; Viridiplantae; Streptophyta; Magnoliopsida; Vitales; Vitaceae
Description: long non-coding RNA (VVIN_LNC008061)
Source: RNAcentral
UUAGAGGGUCAAGCUUGAACUUAAAGUGAAGCAAACGUGGCGUUUGGUGAGUCGAUCAGUGGGUACUCAUUCCUUGAUUGCACAUCGAGAGUUCCCGGGCUUUCACUUGGGACAUUGACAUGUUGAUCAUGUUGGUUGAUUAUUUCGGUUAGGGAUUCUAAUAUAGCCAGUUUCUUAAUGCUUCAUUGAUAUAUUUGUAUGAGAUAUCUGACAUGCUGAUUAUGAGAUUGAUUAUCUUGAUCGAGGAUUUUGAUUUUUCUGUGCUUCAUUGCCAUGUUUGUUGAGUACAUUGACAUGCUGAUUAUAUUGAUUGAUCAUCUUGCCUUGCUUAGCAUAGUCAUUCUGAUUUUGCCAUGUUUGUUCUGAUUACCUCACAUGUAUAGACUCACCAUUGUAUAUCAUUUGAUUUGACAUGAUUGAUUUUCUCAGUUAUAUAUUAUCUUGUUUAUCAUAGAGCAUGCUAUCAUUUGUCAGAUAUUCUUCUU